This 1009-nucleotide long non-coding RNA is filed under the name Monodelphis domestica (gray short-tailed opossum). RNAcentral describes it as "lncRNA (ENSMODG00000030599.2)". The record is from RNAcentral. Lineage: Eukaryota; Metazoa; Chordata; Mammalia; Didelphimorphia; Didelphidae.
CUGAGUUCAAAUCUGACCUUGAAAAUUUACUAACUUUGUGAUUCCAGGCAAAGUCAUUUAAUGUGGUUUACCUCAGUUUCCUCAUCUGCAAAAUGAACUGGAGAAAGAAAUGGCAAAACACUUCAACGUCUUUUCCAAGAAAAUCCCAAAUUGGGUCAAGAGGAGGUGAACAUAACUGAACAGUAGAACAAGAGAAUCACAUUUGUCACCCCUGUCUGUGCAUUGUCUGAUGUUGGAGGGAUGUGAAUGAAGAUCCAGAACUGGUCAGAUUCCAGAGUUGCUUGCCUCUUAGGAAAGUUGACCUCAGCUCAAUUGAUGGAUUCACUACCUCCUUGUAACAGUUUCUCAGCUGAAGUGUUUUCAGGUGUGAGUUUCCUAAUGGAAUGCUGGGAUUUGUGUCUGCCAUAUGGUGUCAACAGCAACAUCUGCAUCAACAUCUUCUGGAUAAUAAAAGAGAAAACCAAAUCCUAGAGAAGGAAAAGGAUUUGUCCAAGGCAUGGAAGGGAUGAGGUUAAAUAAUUCCAUAGGAUAUGAGCUGACUUGUGACAUUCCUCAAUUCCUCACUCCAUGAUCCCUGUCUGAAGCUGGGAGCCUGACUAGCAUUGUGAAGAUAAUGGAGUCAACUAACAUGUACUGGUUUGAGAAAUGAGAAUGAAUGGUAUCUUAUAAGCAGAGUGGAGAGAGGCUUCAAUCUGCAGUGCUGGGGAAAAAAAACCCUCUAGUUUGAUGUAUGAAAAUGGAACAGCCAAAGAAAGACUUUUUAAAAAUGUUACAAGCUUCAUCCUACAGGCUUUCAUAAAAAGGUGAGAUGAAAGACAGCAGAUGGAUUUAUCUUUUUUACUUAGCUGUGAAACUACAAAUCAGCUUCAUAUAAACAGAUCUCUCAGCCAAAUAUAGCUUGACAGUAAUUCUAUAAGAUUCAUCAAGUCAAGGAAAGUGAUUAUGUCUGAUGAUAUGAAAUAAUGUGAAAGCAGAGUAUCUCCCAUGAUUUCAAUAUAUAAGACUAAAG